GACGGAGGGUGCAAGCGUUGUUCGGAAUCACUGGGCGUAAAGCGCGUGUAGGCGGUUUGAUAAGUCGAAUGUGAAAGCCCGAGGCUCAACCUCGGAAGUGCAUUCGAAACUGUCAGGCUUGAGUACGGGAGAGGGAAGUGGAAUUCCUGGUGUAGAGGUGAAAUUCGUAGAUAUCAGGAGGAACACCGGUGGCGAAGGCGGCUUCCUGGACCGAUACUGACGCUGAGACGCGAAAGCGUGGGGAGCAAACAGG
Molecule: ribosomal RNA, 253 nt
Filed under: uncultured bacterium
Lineage: Bacteria
Description: partial 16S ribosomal RNA
Rfam family: Bacterial small subunit ribosomal RNA
Source: RNAcentral